GAUGAACGCUGGCGGCGUGCUUAACACAUGCAAGUCGAACGGAAAGGCUCCUGCUUGCAGGGGUACUCGAGUGGCGAACGGGUGAGUAACACGUGGGUGAUCUGCCCUGCACUUCGGGAUAAGCCUGGGAAACUGGGUCUAAUACCGGAUAGGACGAUGGUUUGGAUGCCAUUGUGGAAAGUUUUUCGGUGUGGGAUGAGCUCGCGGCCUAUCAGCUUGUUGGUGGGGUAAUGGCCUACCAAGGCGUCGACGGGUAGCCGGCCUGAGAGGGUGUACGGCCACAUUGGGACUGAGAUACGGCCCAGACUCCUACGGGAGGCAGCAGUGGGGAAUAUUGCACAAUGGGCGCAGGCCUGAUGCAGCGACGCCGCGUGGGGGAUGACGGCCUUCGGGUUGUAAACUCCUUUCGCUAGGGACGAGCGCAAGUGACGGUACCUGGAGAAGAAGCACCGGCUAACUACGUG
Molecule: ribosomal RNA, 464 nt
Filed under: uncultured bacterium
Lineage: Bacteria
Description: partial 16S ribosomal RNA
Rfam family: Bacterial small subunit ribosomal RNA
Source: RNAcentral